Long non-coding RNA from Gymnodraco acuticeps, 258 nucleotides. RefSeq lists it as uncharacterized. NCBI's taxonomy places the organism in Eukaryota, Metazoa, Chordata, Actinopteri, Perciformes, Bathydraconidae. The record is from RefSeq and is a predicted model, not a curated record. The transcript is spliced from 3 exons.
CUCCCCCUUCACACGCGGUCACGUUCAGUGUUCACUGUCACGUCACUGAGGCUAAAGAGACAACGCUUUAUAUAUACAGACAGUCUAUGCUAACAACCGACAACAGUUUGCUCCAAAAGAUGGCAGAAAUAGCCGGAUCGUCAUCCAGAGAGGAAAUCCUGAAGGAAAGUGGGCCUCCCGCCAUACUUGGACAAGGUCCCAAUGUGUAGAUAAUAUGGAGCAGCUACGUUAGACGUGGGGAAGAAAGAGCCAGACACA